UACGUAGGGGGCAAGCGUUGUCCGGAAUCAUUGGGCGUAAAGCGCGUGUAGGCGGCUAGGUAAGUCUGCUCUGAAAGCCCGGGGCUCAACCCCGGGAGGCGGGUGGAUACUGUCUAGCUCGAGUCCGGAAGAGGAGUGUGGAAUUCCUGGUGUAGCGGUGAAAUGCGCAGAUAUCAGGAGGAACACCCGUGGCUAAGGCGGCUCUCUAGUACGGUACUGACGCUGAGACGCGAAAGCGUGGGGAGCGAACCGG
This 253-nucleotide ribosomal RNA is filed under the name uncultured bacterium. RNAcentral's name for it is "partial 16S ribosomal RNA". It matches the Rfam family "Bacterial small subunit ribosomal RNA", at positions 524 to 776 of the family's 1533-position model. The record is from RNAcentral.